UUUCUUUUUGUGUUUCCACUUUUCCAGAGCACUGUGUAAUUUGGUCCACACUCUGUUAGUGUGAGAACCUUAGGGGUAUCUCCUAUUAUAAAUUUCCAAGCAUGAGAGUCGAUAGAGUUUUUGAUCUGAAUGUUUGUAAGAACCCUGAAGAUUUGGAGAGGACCGGAGUAGAGCGUGAACGACUGGAGACCCUAGGGUUUGGCGACCAAGAGUCGCAGAGUUUGGCAAGAGACGAUUGGGAGUAAGAGGAGAAGUUAGGGUUUAGAGUUUGAAAUUAUAAAACUGAAAAAGUAUCUAAGACUAUUACAUUUUUGGUAUUUAUACUAACCCUAAUUGCUAAUGGGCCAACAUCCGAGUUGGGCCUGUUAUACUUGAUUAAUUCAAAUAACUAACACCUUAAUAAUACUUUAGUAGUCUUAAUACCCCCCCUCAAGCUGGAGAGUGUAUAUCAUAGAGUCCCAGCUUGGGUAGUAAAUUGCGCAAUGAUUCAAGGCUUGCUGGCUUUGUUAGGAUGUCUGCUACUUGUGAUGCUGAGGAGACAUGUUGUAAUUUGAAUAAUCCAGCUUGAAGAUGAUCACGAAUUAAGUGGCAGUCAAUCUCUAUGUGUUUGGUUCUUUCAUGAAAUACUGGAUUUGUUGCAAUGUGUAUUGCUGCCAUAUUAUCACAGUGUAGCAUUGUUUGCUUUGAUGGUUUUACCUGCAGAUCAUUCAAAAAAUAAUGCAACCACAUAAUUUCACAUACAGUUGAUGCCAUAGCCCUGUAUUCACUUUCAGCAGAUGAUCUACUGAUAGUUGUUUGUUUUUUUGAUUUCCAGGCUAUAGCUGAACCACCUAGUGAGAUUGUAUAUCCUGUUAUAGACCUUCUAGUGUUGGGGCAGUCUGCCCAAUCUGCAUCACAGUAGGCUUCUAAUUGUAGAGGUGCAUCUCUUUUGUAUAGAAUGCCUUUUCCUGGUGUGCCUUUGAUAUAUUUCAAUAUCUUUAUAGCUGAGUUAAAGUGUGAAAGUUUUGGUUCUGCCAAGAAUUGGCUGUGAUGGCUAACAGCAAAUGAUAUAUCAGGCCUUGUGAUUGUUAAAUAUAACAAUUUCCCAAUCAAUUUUCUAUAGGAUGAUGGGUCUUUUAGUAAAGUAUCAUUCUCAGAGUCUCUAUAAUUAUGAGAUAUUGGGAUUUUGGAUGGUGAUGAACCCAAUUGUCCAAAAUCAUGUAGAACAUCCAGGGCAUAUUUUCUUUGUGAUAAGAAUAUACCCAUCUUAGAUUGAGAUACCUCAAUCCCUAAAAAAUAUUUGAGCUUGCCCAAGUCUUUUAUAUGAAAUUGGAGGUGCAAGUACUCUUUUAACUUUUGUAUUUCAAGUUCAUUAUCUCCUGAAAUAAUCAAAUCAUCCACAUAUAUGAGUAGACAUGUAUAUGAAUUAGUAUUUGAUUUGAAAAACAGUGUAUAGUCAGAAUGGGAUUGAUUAUAUCCAAAUUUAGUCAAGGCAGAUGUGAGUUUUUCAUACCAGUUCCUAUUUGCUUGUUUCAAGCCAUAUAGGGAUUUUUUUAGUUUGCAAACCCUGGUGUCAUCUGCUGAUAACAUCCCUGGAGGGGGUGACAUGUAAAUUUCUUCAGAUAAUUCACCAUGUAAGAAAGCAUUGCUCACAUCCAUUUGAUAUGUUGUCCAGUUUUUGAUUGAUGCCACAGCUAGAAGGGUCCUGACUGAGAUGAUUUUUGCCAUAGGAGAGAAUGUCUCUUUGUAAUCAAACCCCUCUAUUUGAGUAUGUCCCUUUGCUACAAGCCUGGCCUUUAGUCUCUCAAUCUGACCAUUUGAUUUAUGCUUUACCUUGUAUACCCAUCUGGAACCAACAAUCUUCCUUUCUUUUGGUCUUGGUACUAUCUCCCAAGUAUUAUUUAGCUCUAAAGCUGCAAGUUCAUCAUUCAUGGCUUUUACCCAUUCAGGGCUUUGACUGGCUUGUUUAAAGGAUGAUGGCUCAGUUGUGAUAGAUAUUUUGUCUAAGUAAUCAAUAUGUGAUGUUGAUAGCCUCUUAUAUGUUAGGUAGUCAUGCAUAGGAUAUGAAGUGCCUUUAGAUUUACCAUUGCUAGUGGCAAAUGAACAGAAAUAGUCAUUUAGUUUUGUUGGGUGUCUUCUUUGUCUGCUUGGGUAUCUCGAGCUUGGUUGUACAUCAGUUGGGGUUUGAUUUGGUGUUUGUUCAGUUUCUGGAUUUAGAGAUAUUAUUGGCAAGUCACAAUUUUCGUUUGUUUGUGUUACCCUUGAGGGUUCAGAAUCUGAUAUGUUUGAGUUUGUGUUUGAGUCAUCAGAGAAUAAUUCAUUUAGAUCUGUCUCAGAGAGAUCAGUAUUAGCUGUUGUAUUUUUGAUUUGAUUUUUCACUAUCACUUGAUCAUUGGAUUUGUUCUGAUCCUUAUUUAGAGGAAAAACAUCCUCAUAGAAGAUCACAUCUCUACUUGUGAAGAUGUGAUUGGUAUCUAAUUCAUACACUAUUGAACCCUUUUGGGUUGGGGAUGGUCCUAGAUAUAAGCAUUUCUUUGCUCUAGGGGAGAACUUGUCUUCCUUAACAAGGCAAGUUACAUAACAUAGGCAUCCAAAGGUCCUUAGACCUUCAUAGUCAGGCUUUCUAGAGUGCAUUAGUUCAUAUGGGGAUAGAUUCUGUGUUACCUUGGAUGGUAACAUGUUAAUAAUCUUGGUUGCCUGAAGUAUUGAAUAUCCCCACAGCUCAAUUGGCAGUGUGGAUUGUAACUUCAGUGACCUAGCUACAUUUAAGAGGUGUUGAUGUUUCCUCUCAACCACACCAUUUUGUUGUGGUGUAUGGGCACAACUAGAGUAGUGGAUGAUCCCAUUAGUUUUCAGGAAUUCAUCCAUGGCUGAAGAGAAAAACUCUCCACCAUUAUCAGUUCUUAUGGCCUUAAUAGACAUAUUAAACUGGUUUUUGAUAAGAGCAUGUAGAUUUUUAAAUAUAGUAAAACAUUCAGACUUCAUAGUAAUUAGAUAAGUCCAAGUGUACCUAGUAUAGUCAUCAACCACAGUUAAAAAAUAUUUCUUCCCAUGGACUGUUGGAGUGUGAAAGUUCCCCCACAUAUCCAUGUGAAGCAAAUCAAAUGCAUGUUUAGUUCUAGAUGCAUGUAAUGGAAAUGACUUCCUAGAUUGUUUAGAUAAGUGACUUUCACAGUAUUUAUCAAAAGUAGUGUCUUUAAAAACUAAAGAGGAAUUGUUCAAAAUGUAUUUAAGUCUGUCACUUGAUGUGUGACCUAAUCUUUUGUGCCAUGUUGAAGUUGUUAUGGCACCUGCAAAACAUUUUCUACCACUGGUUUGUGGCAGAUAGUAUAGUCCUUUCUUCAUGUCACUCUGACCAACUUCCUUCAUCUGAACCUUGUCAUAUAUGAAUGCACAUGAUUUAGAGAAUUGUACUGAAUAUGUAUCAUGUUGAGUUAACUUGCUAAUGGAUAGCAAGUUUACUUGAAAAGAUGGGAUGUAAUACACAUCCUCUAAUGUGAUGUCAGGUGAUAUGGAAAUAUCACCCUUUUGGGACACUAACUGGCUGUCCCCAUUUGGUAGUGAAAUCCUGAAUGGAUCACACUCUGAGAGUUUUAGGAAUAGGGACUCAUUCCCACUCAGGUGUUCUGAUGCACCUGAGUCAAUGAUCCAGUAUGUGUUUGAAUAAUUAAAAGAAACAUUAUUAGCAUUACCUGAGUUGUGCUUGGGCAGUGGCUUUGGAUUAUACUUCUCAGAAUAGAGAGGGAAGCCAUAUGGACCAAUAGGGUUAUCAGGAGAUUCUGGCUUCUUUUCAUCACUGUCCCAGGCUGACCAGGUUUGUUCAGAAUUUACACAGUUGGCAGAGGCUUGAGGUUUGUUGAUUACAGUGGCUGUUGGAGUGGUAGGUUUGGCCCUGUUGACAGAUGUUGUGUUUCUAGAGGGGUACCCAUGUUGAUUAAAGCAUUUCUCAUCACUAUGUCCAAAUGCUGCACAGUGGAAGCAGUAAUACCUUGUGUUUACUUGCUUGCCACUCCUAUAGUAGAUGGGUUCAGUUGGGGUAGGAGGCCUCUUCCUUUGUGUUGAUGAGGAGGGAGUGUUUGUGGGUUUGCUGGUUUGGUAGGGUGCCUUUCCCUUGGAUGAAUAGAAGGCAGAGCCUUGAGUGGUAUUGGCAUUGGUAUUGCUGAUCAUUUGUUGUUGGGCUUCUUCAUGGAUGACCAUAGAGAAUACCUUCCCAAAGAUAGGGAGCUUAUCCAUAGACAGGAUGGUUGACCUUAUCUGUCUAAAAUUAUCAUUUAAUCCCAUCAAGAACUUCCUCACUUUCAGUCUCUCCUCCCUUUCAUUGAUUCUACCAUUCACAUUGCAGGUGCAUGUAAUGCAACUGCACCUAGGUACCUCACCAUAGGCAUCAACUUCUCUCCACAUAGUCUUAAGUGUAGCACUGAAUUUGGAUACAGAGUUGGAACCCUGUUGAAGUAAAGCAAUGUCCUGUGUCAGUUGAAACAGAUGAGUUUCAUUUGAUUGUCUGUAUUGGUCCCUUAGAUCAGCCCAAAUUAUCGAAGCAUCAUCUGUAUACAUGAUUUGGGAGGCUAUCUCCUGUGAGACAGAACUCCAUAUCCAUUGCCUUAUAAUUCCAUGGCAAGUUACCCAAGCUUCAUGCUCUUCCAUAUCCAUCAGAGAUGGUUCCUUUAUAGCUCCAUUAACAAAUCCUAGUUUCCUCCUCGUAAUUAACAUUGUGGUCAUUUCCCUAUUCCAGGGGUAGUAGUUCUGACUGCCUUGCAGAAUGUUUAUUAUGGUUGGAGGGCCAUAAUCCGUGGAUUUGAAGAAAUAGAUGGAAGUGGGGUCAAACAGAGGGCCACCAAGUGGCUUCUUUUGUGUAGUUUGAACUACCUGGCCAGAUGGGACAUCCUGUGAAACUUUAUCAGAUUCUGACAUAUGGAAGACUCUGUAACAUUUUCCAUGAUCACAAAAUAUUAUUAAUUUAACAUAGAACAAUCUUGAAUGAAUCGAAGAUGUCAAAUUUAGAUUUAAAAUUGAUGAAUCAACUUUGUUGGUGGUUAUCAACCCACUCUUGAUUUUAUCAGAAUGUUUAGAUGACAGCGGAAGCAACAUAGUAUCAGUAUCUAUUUGGAUUAUGAAGAAAUAUAUAACAGAGUAUAUUCUGUUUGGUAUGAAGUAUAUCAUUGUAUGUAUUUUAUUAGAUGUAUUAUAUACCCAAACAUGAGAGAUAUGUAAAUCAGAUGCACAUGAUGUGAUGAUCAUCUUUACAUGGAAUAGUCUACAAUGCUUAUCAUAUGUACAUGGCAUGCAACAGAGUAGCAACAAAAUAUAUUGAUUGUUCAUGACAUGGCAUGUGACCAACAGAACAUGAUGUUUAUCAUAUAUCGAUUUACAUUUUAGUAGAGAUAGUGUAGCAUGUAACAGAAUAGCAAAGCAUGGAGAAGAUAAUAAUAACUUAUAACAUGAAGAUAGCACAGUAUAUGGUAUAUAUGUAUCAGUGAUUCCUAUAUCGUAAACUGACUUGUAACAUGAUACAGGAAGACGCAUAGCAUAUAGCAACAGACAUGCAGUGUGUAUGAUGGAUAAUAUUUUGCAUAUAUCGUUGUUUUUAAGAUGAUGAUAGGAUAUCCAGUACAUUAACAACAAAUGGAGGGUUAUAUAACGACAUGCAGUGACAAGUCGCUUGGAUCUAAGAAGAUCAGCAUGCAUGUUACUCAUAGCAUCUAGGUAUGUAUAUUACUAGAAGACUAGUUAGGUUUUAGGUAUACCAGAUGUAUCUCGAGGCACCGGUGAGUGGAAUCUGACGGAAUCAGAGUGAUCGGAACCUGACGGUUUUGAAUCGCGUCACCGGAGCUUUGUUUGCGAGGUCAGCAGCGCAGCACUCCACAGGGCUCUGAUACCAUGAAGAUUUGGAGAGGACCGGAGUAGAGCGUGAACGACUGGAGACCCUAGGGUUUGGCGACCAAGAGUCGCAGAGUUUGGCAAGAGACGAUUGGGAGUAAGAGGAGAAGUUAGGGUUUAGAGUUUGAAAUUAUAAAACUGAAAAAGUAUCUAAGACUAUUACAUUUUUGGUAUUUAUACUAACCCUAAUUGCUAAUGGGCCAACAUCCGAGUUGGGCCUGUUAUACUUGAUUAAUUCAAAUAACUAACACCUUAAUAAUACUUUAGUAGUCUUAAUA
Molecule: long non-coding RNA, 6134 nt
Filed under: Zostera marina
Lineage: Eukaryota; Viridiplantae; Streptophyta; Magnoliopsida; Alismatales; Zosteraceae
Description: long non-coding RNA (ZMAR_LNC000186)
Source: RNAcentral